Long non-coding RNA from Pseudopipra pipra, 2294 nucleotides. RefSeq lists it as uncharacterized. The transcript has 6 exons. The record is from RefSeq and is a predicted model, not a curated record. Lineage: Eukaryota; Metazoa; Chordata; Aves; Passeriformes; Pipridae.
CGGGGCGGGGCUUUGAGCCCUCGAUCGGCGCACGCGCGAACUGUCGGUCCCCGCCCGCGCCGAGUGCGCGGGGUCGGCCCCGGAACCUUUGCUGUUCCCCGCGGGGCGCACGGAGGGUUUGUCGCCGGGCGCGCAUGGGCUCGGCAGAACUCUGCCCGCCGGAGCCGCUCUCCCCGCACCGCGAGGAAGAGCAGGUUGUUCCUGUGUUGUGCAGAGCCCUUGUUGGAGUGCUGGUGUCUGUUUCUGGCAGCAAUGACAAGGCCGAGUGCAGGAACAAGGAGGUGCUCUGGUACAAACCACUUGUCUGAAGGAAACAAUGUCUUUUAGGACUGUCCUGGUAUCUGAGGCACCUGCUGUUUAGAUCUGCAGCAGACCUGCUGAUAACUCUCAUUAUUCUGUGAUAAAUGAUACUCGGAUGUUCUGCAGCAGCAGGAAAUUCAGUGUGUGGGUACCCAUUAAAGGGUACAAGUGAAUUCACAGUGCAAGUGAAUGGAUCCAACAGCCAGGGCAGCUUGAUAAGUGAUGCUGUAACAAUUGUCAGGCCUCCAGGAGUACUGUAAUUAAAGUCAACAUUAUUUAUGUGACAAGUUGAAUUCCUCCUGUUGAAGGAAUUCUACGAUAAAAUGACAUUGAAAUUCCUGGUGAAAACCUACAGGAGACAUUUGAAAAAUCACACUGUGAAUUUUCUCUUUCGAACCAUUUUCCAGAUAUAUGGCUUGACACCUUCAGCAGCACUGGCAGGGGGGAUGGGUCCAGCUGCCUCUUCCCAGCCUGCAGAAGUCCCCUGGCAAUCCCAGAAUGCGUAAAUCAUGAACCAUUUCAGUCUCUGACAGCACAAGGUCAUGGCUGUCAGGAUUUUAAAGAUGAAUACAGUGUUUGCCCUGCAGCUAUUAAACAAAACAGGGGGAGAUGUGGUGUAUCAUGGACCAGAGCAGAACAUAAAGGGUUACCGAAGCAGAGGAUGUUGCCAGAACGGAAGAGAAUGUGGCAGAAGGUGGGAGGAACUGUCUACAAUGUGCAUGGAGCCAAAGGUCGUGUGACCCAAAACAAGAUGAUUGAAGAAAAGAAGAAAACCUGUUGAAAGCUGAUAGGUGUAAAGAUGGACAUUAGUUGUUAAUAGGUAGAAAUAUGCUCACUGUAAUUUUAUAGGGCCAAGUAUUGCUUGUUGAUAGGUUAUAGAUGAAACUAAUUCUUCUAGAAAUAGAGGCCUGAAAUAAAUAAAUGAUUCUCUUGGAUCACAGUAAGGGAGUCCAUGCCUUGGUAUGGACUAUAUUUGCUACAGCUGCCCCCAGGGCAUCAGAAGUGGUGCUGAAGCCUCUUUCAGCCCAGCCCCGGGUGCAGUUUUCUUAUCCCCUCACCGAGUGCCCGCUCCCCCAGCCGGCACUGACCAACCAGGGUGUUUGGCACACUUGAUUUGGUGGUUUGGAGAAACAGUUUCGGACUGGCAGGGGACCAGAUAACCUCGAGGAACAGCCCUGGCGAGGUGCCCAGACUGGCAGGGGGCCAGGGGAUCGCUGCUCCACGGAACCGGCUGGAGCUCUGGGUGAACCGGAGCUGAAGGGUCUGUGACCUGUGGAUGAGUCCAGCAUGGAGCAGCACGGGAGGAGCCCGCACUGGAGCAGAGGAUGCCCCAAAAAAGCCGAGAGCCCGUGGGAAGUCCCUGCAGAGCCGUGGGAGCAAAGCUCUGGUUUCCAGGGCUGGCCCCGCCCCACCGACUUCUUGAGCACCUCCUCAGCAGGGCCCCCAGACUGCGAUGGAGGGAAGAACUGCAGCUGUGACUGAUGGGCACAGGGAGGAGAGAGACAGCCAGCAAAGAGGGCUGGGAGCGCGAAGGAAUAAGCUAAGACGGUUACGGGAUAAAGAACUUGUGCCGAGGUUUCCUAGUCAAUCGGAGCGAUCUUGUGGCGCUUCUCGGCUCGGCGGGGCCGGGGAGGCAGCAGUGGGACACGCGGGGCCGGGACUGUGCGGGCGGACCCAGCGUGGAGCCCGAGGGUUGAGCGGACCUGCUAGGAAACAACUUCCUGAUGCCCCCCCGGUGCCCGCGGGCUCGGCAGUGCAGCUCUCGUGGUGGCAAGGGGCGGCGGAGACCCCUUGAUGCGGCUCCUCACUCCAUCACCCUCUCCAGUGCCUCCUCGCCGGUCCUUUGGUGCAGCUCUUUCAGCCUGGGGCAGCUCUAUUGUUGUCUGGUUUUUCGUUAUAUUCUCUGUUAUUCCGUUCCCAGCUCCCAUCUCCCCGCCCUCCCCAUGAGGCUCUUGCAGCACCGCCGCUCCUCGCCCGGCCCGCGGGGCAGCUGU